GCCCGCUCUCCUGCCUGCAGGCCCUGCUGGGAGGCUCAGCUGGCUCAGCCUGCAGGGCCGGCCUGCCGGGGCUGCCCGCUAUAUUCCAGCGACAUAUUCUUUCAGUUUUGUUAAUCUGGGUCAACAAGAGGAGCUUAGUACUCCACACAAUGACUUAGGAACCUGUGCUGGUGGUGGCACUGGCAUCUUACAGCUGCUCCAUCUGGAGAAGGUUCCAGGUGAUUCCAGCUCUUCAUAUAGCUGCUGCCUCACAGAAUUAGGAUGAGUAGUGGGAAGAACUGAGUGUGGGAAUGAAGCAGAUGGGACAGAGUCCAAGAACCCAAAAGCAAGGAGGAAGAGACAGUACCGGGGCAUGAAUAGCCUUGGAGGGUUCCUGACGCCAGCCUGCAGUUCCUGGAGCUCCAGCACCUCAUCCACAACAUUUGCGAAUGGACAAGGCAGGAGUGAGGAAGAAAGGUUUCAUCUUCAGAGAAGAGGUAUCAGUAGUGUAGGGGUGAAGGUGAUGGAAGAAACGGUUGUGGAACAAAAGGAAUAGAAAGCUCCCGGCAAGGAUGGAGGCAGCACUGUUUGUUGGACAACUGAAUUGGCCCAGGUGGCCCCUGCACUCUCAGGUACCUGAGACUCCACCCGCCUUGCCUUACUGUCCACAUUUACUCAUGGUGACAACCCCCGCCCCCAAAUUUCAUUUGAAUGACAUGCGCAGGUGCAUUUGCACUGAGAUCUUUAUUCUAGGCCUGGGGCCUUGGAGCAGUGGGCAAUUGCAACACAGGACAGAGAAGAGAGUAUUGUUUGUGUCCCUGUGAUCAGACACAUGCACACACUACACACACACACACACACACACACACACACACACACACAAGGACACGGGCACAGACAUGGGUAGUAAUGAGACCUAUUAAGUAUUUUCCCCUCCAGUAGGCAGAUGUGCAUGAUACAUAAAUUACAAAUAAGAGGAACCUUGUGAACACAUUUCAAAGGCAAGAUGAGUGAAUAUCGGUGACUUGUGGUUUUCAUGUAUUUUAUAAUUCAGUUCUUGGUAUAAAAUAUAUUUUAUAUUCCAACCUCGUAUACACCUAUACACUCUUGAAAAAUCGAAAGAAGAGUUUCA
This 1111-nucleotide long non-coding RNA is filed under the name Homo sapiens (human). RNAcentral's name for it is "long non-coding RNA NONHSAT156390.1". The record is from RNAcentral. Lineage: Eukaryota; Metazoa; Chordata; Mammalia; Primates; Hominidae.